UACGUAGGGGGCAAGCGUUGUCCGGAAUUAUUGGGCGUAAAGAGCUCGUAGGCGGUUUGUCGCGUCUGCUGUGAAAACUCGGGGCUUAACUCCGGGCCUGCAGUGGGUACGGGCAGACUAGAGUGCGGUAGGGGAGACUGGAAUUCCUGGUGUAGCGGUGAAAUGCGCAGAUAUCAGGAGGAACACCGGUGGCGAAGGCGGGUCUCUGGGCCGUAACUGACGCUGAGGAGCGAAAGCGUGGGAAGCGAACAGG
Molecule: ribosomal RNA, 253 nt
Filed under: uncultured bacterium
Lineage: Bacteria
Description: partial 16S ribosomal RNA
Rfam family: Bacterial small subunit ribosomal RNA
Source: RNAcentral